AAGUCUUGGCUUAAGUAUUCACCUCGAUCGAAUCGAAGGGCUUUUAUGCUUUUGCCAAAUUGGUUUUGAACUUCAUUCUUGAAUUCCUUGAACUUUUCAAAGGAUUUGGAUUUGUGUCUCAUAAGAUACACAUAUCCAUAUCUACUGAAGUCGUCAGUAAAUGUAAAAAAGUAAUAAAACCUACCGCUUGCUAUCGAACUCAUGGGUCCACAUACAUCACUAUAUAUAAGUCCCA
RNAcentral lists this long non-coding RNA (235 nucleotides) under Panax ginseng (ginseng). RNAcentral's name for it is "long non-coding RNA (PGIN_LNC010284)". Lineage: Eukaryota; Viridiplantae; Streptophyta; Magnoliopsida; Apiales; Araliaceae. The record is from RNAcentral.